Molecule: ribosomal RNA, 279 nt
Filed under: uncultured bacterium
Lineage: Bacteria
Description: partial 16S ribosomal RNA
Rfam family: Bacterial small subunit ribosomal RNA
Source: RNAcentral
GAUGAACGCUGGCGGCGUGCUUAAGACAUGCAAGUCGAACGCAACUCUGGCAGCAAUGUUGGGUUGAGUGCGAAUGGGUGCGUAACACGUAGGUGACCUGCCCGGAAGUGGGGAAUAACAGUCCGAAAGGACUGCUAAUACCGCAUGCGACCGCGGGACGGAAGUUCCCGCGCUCAAAGGUCAAGCGUAAGCGCGAUCGCUUCCGGAGGGCCUGCGCCAUCAGCUCGUUGGUUGGUAACGGCCAACCAAGGCGACGACGGGUAGGGACCUCGAGAGGGU